RNAcentral lists this unclassified non-coding RNA (406 nucleotides) under uncultured Glomus. RNAcentral describes it as "SSU rRNA". It matches the Rfam family "Eukaryotic small subunit ribosomal RNA", at positions 569 to 980 of the family's 1831-position model. Lineage: Eukaryota; Fungi; Glomeromycota; Glomeromycetes; Glomerales; Glomeraceae. The record is from RNAcentral.
AGCAGCCGCGGUAAUUCCAGCUCCAAUAGCGUAUAUUAAAGUUGUUGCAGUUAAAAAGCUCGUAGUUGAACUUCGGGGUUUACCCAUUGGUCAGGCUUAAUUGUCUGUACUGGUGAGAUAAAUCUCUACCUUCUGAGGAACUUUCAUGUCAUUAAUUUGGUGUGAUUGGAAAUCAGGACUGUUACUUUGAAAAAUUGAGUGUUUAAAGCAGGCUAACGUCUGAAUACAUUAGCAUGGAAUAAUGAAAUAGGACGGACUGAUUCUAUUUCGUUGGUUUCUAGGAUCACCGUAAUGAUUAAUAGGGAUAGUUGGGGGCAUUAGUAUUCAAUUGUCAGAGGUGAAAUUCUUGGAUUUAUUGAGACUAACUACUGCGAAAGCAUUUGCCAAGGNUGUUUUCAUUAAUCAA